UGCCAACCAGGUGUCCACACUAAGUUCAGCACCAAUAUGGUGACCUCCUGGGAGCAGGGGACCACCAGGUUGCCUAAGGGUGGGUGAACUGGCCCAGGUCAGAAAUGGAGCAGGUCGGAACUCCCAUGCCUGUUGGUAGUGGGACUGCACCUGGGCA
This 157-nucleotide signal recognition particle RNA is filed under the name Nomascus leucogenys (northern white-cheeked gibbon). Its description in RNAcentral is "Metazoan signal recognition particle RNA". It matches the Rfam family "Metazoan signal recognition particle RNA", at positions 96 to 252 of the family's 299-position model. From Rfam's summary of the family: The signal recognition particle (SRP) is a universally conserved ribonucleoprotein. The record is from Rfam by way of RNAcentral. Lineage: Eukaryota; Metazoa; Chordata; Mammalia; Primates; Hylobatidae.